UAUGCCGGGGAUUUAGUGGCUCUUGACUCUCUGAUCAUUCACAGAAAUUUGCAGGCACGGAUGCCUGCAAAAGAUGCAGUUGAGCCAGGAUGGCGAAUCUGCAUCGGUUUCGUCCACUUGCCAACAUCCUCUCCAGAGAGAUUAGAGCCACUUAAUCCCCGACACU
This is a non-coding RNA of Clostridiales bacterium 41_12_two_minus, 166 nucleotides long. Lineage: Bacteria; Bacillati; Bacillota; Clostridia; Eubacteriales. The record is from Rfam.